Molecule: long non-coding RNA, 928 nt
Organism: Nicotiana attenuata
Lineage: Eukaryota; Viridiplantae; Streptophyta; Magnoliopsida; Solanales; Solanaceae
Exons: 4
Source: RefSeq, a predicted model, not a curated record
GUACGCCUACAAUUUUUCUUUACGGCAUAUUUUAUUUUAGACUAUUCCGUUCACGGUCUCUUUCUCUCUCUACAUACGCGGCUAUUUCUCCUCUCAGACGUGUAACAUCAACAUCCUCUUGCUUUUGGUGCUUUGGGUUGUUUUCUUACCAUGCAAACACCUGCGUUUCACGGAGACCAACAAUAUAUUUUGGGGUUAAACAUUAUCUCUUCAGGUUUUCAUGGGGAUUAGCAAUAUAUUUUGGGGGUUAAACAUUAUCUCUCCAGAACUACUGACGCUUCUGUUACAUUCGGUACCCCAAAAAGAGUUGCUCGACGUGCUUAUAGGUGCUGUAUAUAUCGAGGUGCAGUAUCUUUUUGUGCUUCCACAUACUCGGUAAUAUAAAUUGAUACCCUUGCUAUCACAGGUACAGCAAAUAACAGCCUACUACUUUUUUUAUCUACCAAAUUACAUUGUCAGCUACCAUUAUUGAUAUCCUGUUGUUUUCAAAAUACUUAUAAAGUAGUACUACUUUAUCUGUACAGGUAUUCUAAGACAUUCUUGUGCUUGGAUUGAUUUAUACUUUCUACCUUGCACUUUUAUUGACUAAGAUUAUGCAACAUAUUUUUCAAUAUAAAUUAUGGUUUACUGAUAGCAUUUUUUUGUUGACGAAAAAAGGCAUCAUUAUAGAUCUUACGUCUGUUUUGUUCGCAUGGUGUUAUAACUCUGUAAAAUGCCUGUAUAUAUACGUCUUAUCCUGCUAUGUAAGUACGUGUUUGAAGAUCGCCAGCUUCUGCUUGAUAGAAAACAUGGACAACACGGUUCACUUUGUGUAACUUACUGGCAUGUACAUUUAUAUUUUUGUUAGCCGGUGAAACAUAUUGGUGUUGUAACUGAUGUAAAUACCGGGUUGAAAGACUAGCAGUAAAUAUGACCUCCUUCUUUGGCU